Molecule: unclassified non-coding RNA, 221 nt
Filed under: uncultured Panaeolus
Lineage: Eukaryota; Fungi; Basidiomycota; Agaricomycetes; Agaricales; Bolbitiaceae
Description: sequence contains ITS1
Source: RNAcentral
UCGAAUAAACUAGGUGGGUUGUUGCUGUCCCUCUCGGGGGAAUUGUGCACACCUUACCUUUUUUGUUUUUCCACCUGUGCACACACUGUAGGUCUGAAGGAGGGGAAGGGGGGGAAGUAACACUCUCCCCCUGAAACACUUUCAGGUCCUAUGUAUUUUACACAUACACUAUUAAAAGUAACAGAACGAUUCAAUGGGCUUCCAAGCCUAUAAACUAUAUA